GACAUAGGUGGCGAACGUUAUCCGGAAUUAUUGGGCGUAAAGGAUGCGUAGAUGGUAGAAUAAGUUAUUGGUCGAUGCCAAACUCAAUUUGGCGGAAGCUGGUAAUACUGUUCAACUAGAGGACAGGAGAGGUUGAUGGAAUUCUGCGUGGAGCGGUGAAAUGCGUUGAUCUGCAGAGGAACACCAAAAAAGGCGAAGGCAGCUCGCUGGGACGGUACUGACGCUGAGGUGCGAAAGCGUGGGGAGCGAACAGG
This 254-nucleotide ribosomal RNA is filed under the name uncultured bacterium. Its description in RNAcentral is "partial 16S ribosomal RNA". It matches the Rfam family "Bacterial small subunit ribosomal RNA", at positions 524 to 776 of the family's 1533-position model. The record is from RNAcentral.